CUUUUGGAAUAUGCGACUCAUUUUCAUAAAUACGAAAUUAACGAAGACUAUGAUAACAAAUGAAGAGUUACUUUUUAGAGUAAUUGCAUCUACCAUAGAAGAUGCAAAAUAAAAAAGUUGUAGUUCUUUACUACCUUUAAGACAGGUGUUCAGAAAGGUUUUGUUUUAUUCAAUGAGAAUAAAGUGCUUUAAAUAAGAAAGGGUAGCCGAAAGGAAUAGGCAUCAAAUCAGGAUACUUAUCUCCAUCAUUACAGCCAUUUGAUUUCUCCCUUGAUCGUUUUCAGCGUCAAGCUUAUCUGAAGUGAUGUUAUUGCUUAAACCAUGCGACAUUGGAUUUGGAGAGAUAAAAGGAUGUCCAAGAAGCUGCUGUGCUAAGGAUUGGUUACCGUUCUCUAGAUAUAGACAUCUAUACAAAGUAUAUUACAUUAAAAGAUAGUAGCUAUAAAUUCUUUGUCACUUUAA
Molecule: long non-coding RNA, 462 nt
Organism: Xenia sp. Carnegie-2017
Lineage: Eukaryota; Metazoa; Cnidaria; Anthozoa; Malacalcyonacea; Xeniidae
Exons: 2
Source: RefSeq, a predicted model, not a curated record